RNAcentral lists this long non-coding RNA (1463 nucleotides) under Homo sapiens (human). RNAcentral's name for it is "HSALNT0294570". Lineage: Eukaryota; Metazoa; Chordata; Mammalia; Primates; Hominidae. The record is from RNAcentral.
CUACGUGCUGUCACCCUUCCAGGUGGGAGGAGGCUGUGAUGGUCAGUCUACUCUGCCGGCAAACAGAUGUUGGGGUGGGGGCAGGUGAGGUGCUCUGCCCUCUGCUUCAUCCCUGCCUUCUGCCCUUACCCCUAAGAUCCACCAGGAUGGCAUAAGUGAAGAAGGAGAGAGGAAGAGCCUCAGGCUGGGACACUCUGGCUGCUACCAGGCUCCAGCAUGGGGAAUUUUAACCUCCGUGAAGCCUGCUGGACUGCUGUCUCAAGACCAGGUGGUGAUAAAGCUCACAACGGCUGCUGACGGUCUUCCGGCCCCGUGAUGAUGUCUGCUUUGUUCUUGGUCUCUUUCAGGAAUAUUUCAAUCCGUGUUUUGCUACCCCACCCCCAAUCCAGGACACUGCAACCUGUCAUGAAUGAAGAGUGGCUGGUCACAUGGCCCGGUCACCAUGGCGACGGAUCCCCGCAGACGAGAUGAGGACGAGGACGCUCAGAGUCCGUGUGAGAACCUGGGUCAUCCAAUCCUAAAGUCCAUGCUCUUCCCAAGGUGCCCGGCCAUGGAGUGUGGCAGACAGUGUGCUCAAAAGGAGGAGGCAGGAGGGAAGGCUGGUGCUGAGGACAGAGCCGAAGAAAGGGCAGUCUAGAGGAGCAGGGAGAAAUGCAUUUUGUUAUUUUAAUGAACAGGUAACACAUGCACACAGUCAAGAAAAAGAAAUCAAACAAAAUUAAAAUAAGUCCAAUACUAAGUUUCCCUUCUCAGCGUCGUCUAGUGUCCGGUCCGCCUCUGCAGAGGAAGUCACUGUGGCUGGUUUCAGAUAUUCUCCUUCUAGAGAUCUCAUGUGCAUAUAGGAGCAGACAUGGAUGUACUGAAUAUAUAUGGUACAGACAUAUGGCAUGAAAUUCAAAAGGCGGAUGAUGAAAAGUAAAUCUUUCUCCCAUGCCUGCCCCCACUCGUGUAGUUCUUCACCCUAGAGGCAAGCGCUAUUAUGUUUCUUACGUACCAUUCCAGAAGUAUUCAAUGCCUCUAUAAGUACAUGUUUCAUAUACAAAUGGCCAUACCCGCUCUACACUAUUCUGCCUUUUUUUUUUUCACGUAACAAUGUGUCUUGGAGAUGUUUCCAGAUCAGAACCUAUAGGGCAGACCUGUUCACUUUAAUGGUUGCAAAGAAUUUCAUUGCUGGAGGUACCAUAAAUUAUUUAAAUGGUUUCUUGUUGAUAGACAUCUAAUUGUUUCCUUUUUUUUUUAUUACAAACACUGCUACAAGGGGUAUCUUUAAACGAAUCUCUUUAAACAAACACAUGUGCAAAAUGAGUAUGUGACUUCAUAAUCUUGAUAGAUAUGGCCAAAUUGUCAAUGGGUAUGUGCCUUUAUAAUUUUAAUAAAUAUGGCCUAAUUAUCUUCCACAGAGAUUGUAUAAUUUAACUCUUCUCUCAUUAGGAACAUGUGUGUUAUUAACUUUUUGUCAUUUG